This is a long non-coding RNA of Populus euphratica (Euphrates poplar), 784 nucleotides long. RefSeq lists it as uncharacterized. The transcript is spliced from 2 exons. The record is from RefSeq and is a predicted model, not a curated record. Lineage: Eukaryota; Viridiplantae; Streptophyta; Magnoliopsida; Malpighiales; Salicaceae.
ACAACAACAUAUCAGGAAUGCAUGUGACAUUGUAUCUCAUAACUUCUAUGAUCAAUUGAACAGAAUUAAAGGCUCAUAAUUAACUUUUCUAUUUUAAGUUUCACUGGGACACAUUUCCAAAACAACAUGCCAGAAGCCAAGACUGGGAAGAUUAGAUGACAAUGCAGGCAUAAAGAACCCUAUCAGUCCUAAUAAAUAAUCUCGAAAUUUUUUAAAUGUCAAGAACCCCAAUAAACAAACUUCAAAGUAAGUUGUAAGAGUAUGAACUGUUAUUAAGGAUUAUCAACUAACUAGUAAGAGCAGACUAUUAAAGAUAAAAAGGAUGGAUUGCAAAAUGAGAACAAGGACAAAGCAGAAAUUUAAUCUCAUUCAAGACAGCCCUCACAACUAAGACAAGACCAAUAUUUUCCACAUGCAGAAAAUUCAGCCAAUUAACCAACACCCUUCAUCUCCAAAUGAUUCUUCAAAAUAACUUUUGGAAAACAUAUAUAAUGAUUUUUAUGGUGUGAGAAAAAUAUAUGUUUGCUCUUGCAGUUGGGCCAUGUAGAGCGGCAACUACUUUUCAAUUCAACAAACGAGGAUUUCGAGCUGUAGCACAUUGUGCAAGAUCUUGUCUCUCAAGAGUAAGAAGUGUUAUCAGUGCCUGUAUGCAUAUUUGUAUUUGCAUUUCUCACACAAUACAAAAAAUAUUUUUUUCAUGAUAAAAAAGCAUUGUGAUUUGCCCCAAUAAGAAACUAUUUUUGGAGUCAAAACUACCCAAUCAUCGUAAAUGCAUACCAUUAAA